Molecule: unclassified non-coding RNA, 391 nt
Filed under: Hevea brasiliensis (rubber tree)
Lineage: Eukaryota; Viridiplantae; Streptophyta; Magnoliopsida; Malpighiales; Euphorbiaceae
Source: RNAcentral
GUUAAAUAUUAAUGAAAUUUUUAUAAUUUACUCAAAAUUAGCUAACUCAAGAUGGAAAAGCAUGCUCAUUCCCAGCUGCAGCAUUUAGUAAAUAGUAAUUUAAGUGAGAGAAAGAGGAAAAAUACAACACAAAAAAGGAAAGUAUGAAUUCUAUUGAUCAGAAUAAUUAUUUCAGAAUUAAAUAAAACAUAUAAUUAAUUACCCAAUAAUUAAAAAAAUCUCAAGUUUUUUCCUAAUUUUUUCCAUUAUUUGAUAAAAUAAUAAGUUUUUUCAUGUUCUAAAAUCAAACUAAGCAUUAUCAAAUGAACAUAAUUAAUCUGAUUAAACCUCUAAUUACUGUAAUUAUGAAUAUAUGCAAUUUCUGAAAAGAUAGAUAUGAAGAAGAAGAAGA